This 164-nucleotide ribosomal RNA is filed under the name uncultured bacterium. RNAcentral describes it as "partial 16S ribosomal RNA". It matches the Rfam family "Bacterial small subunit ribosomal RNA", at positions 355 to 511 of the family's 1533-position model. The record is from RNAcentral.
UAGGGAAUCUUCCACAAUGGGCGAAAGCCUGAUGGAGCAACGCCGCGUGUGUGAUGAAGGGUUUCGGCUCGUAAAACACUGUUGUAAGAGAAGAAUGACAUUGAGAGUAACUGCUCAAUGUGUGACGGUAUCUUACCAGAAAGGAACGGCUAAAUACGUGCCAG